This is a long non-coding RNA of Labeo rohita (rohu), 432 nucleotides long. RefSeq lists it as uncharacterized. The record is from RefSeq and is a predicted model, not a curated record. NCBI's taxonomy places the organism in Eukaryota, Metazoa, Chordata, Actinopteri, Cypriniformes, Cyprinidae. The transcript has 3 exons.
UCUUCAUCAUCAUUCAUCAUCAUCAAACUGUUCAUUGCUGUGUUCAGUGGUGAAUGUGAGUGAUGUGACUCUCUCCUGGUACAAAGGAAACAGUUUAUUGUCCAGCAUCAUCAGUGUGUCUGAUCUCAGCAUCAGUUUCUCUCUACCUCUGGAGGUGGAAUAUGAGGAUAAAAACACCUACAGCUGUGUGCUCAACAAUCCCAUCAGAAACCAGACUCAACAUCUGAACAUCAGCAAACUCUGUCACACAUGUUCAGACUCUGUUCACUGUUGUGGUUCUACUGAAGCUGUGAUCCGAUUGGUCCUCUCUGCUCUGGUGAGCGUGGCUACUGUCGUUAAUCUGAUUUAUGACAUCAGAUCCAGAAACACUGAACAGGAUUGAGCACAUAUUCACACACCAGAAACAAUUGAAGUCUAAAGCAGAAUUCAGAA